UGAGGAAUAUUGGACAAUGGAAGCAAUUCUGAUCCAGCCAUGCCGCGUGCAGGAAGACGGUCCUAUGGAUUGUAAACUGCUUUUAUACAGGAAGAAAAAGAGAGAUUCGUUCUUUUAUUGACGGUACUGUAUGAAUAAGAAUCGGCUAACUCCGUGCCAGCAGCCGCGGUAAUACGGAGGAUUCAAGCGUUAUCCGGAAUCAUUGGGUUUAAAGGGUUCGUAGGCGGGACGAUAAGUCAGUGGUGAAAGUUUGUGGCUUAACCAUAAAAUUGCCAUUGAUACUGUUGUUCUUGAGUUAUUGUGAAGCGGUUAGAAUGUGUAGUGUAGCGGUGAAAUGCAUAGAUAUUACACAGAACACCAAUUGCGAAGGCAUAUCACUAACAAUCAACUGACGCUGAUGAACGAAAGCGUAGGUAGCCAACA
This 423-nucleotide ribosomal RNA is filed under the name uncultured Bacteroidota bacterium. RNAcentral describes it as "bacterial SSU rRNA". It matches the Rfam family "Bacterial small subunit ribosomal RNA", at positions 355 to 774 of the family's 1533-position model. Lineage: Bacteria; Pseudomonadati; Bacteroidota. The record is from RNAcentral.